AGAGUUUGAUCCUGGCUCAGGAUAAACGCUGCGGCGUCCUAACACAUCAAGUCGAACGCCCUAUGCAAAUAGGGAGUGCAGACGGGUGAGGAACACGUGGGUGAUCUACCUCCGGGUGAGGGAUACCAACGAGAAAUCGUUGACAAUACCGCAUACGCUUCGUAAAGCAAGCAAAGCUCCUUCGGGAGCGCCGGGAGAUGAGCCUGCGGCUGAUUAGCCAGUUGGUGGGGUAAUGGCCUACCAAAGUGACGAUCAGUAGCUGGUCUGAGAGGACGAGCAGCCACACUGGGAUUGAGAACGGCCCAGACUCCUACGGGAGGCAGCAGUGAGGAAUUUUCCGCAAUGGACGCAGGUCUGACGGAGCAACGCCGCGUGCUAGGAAGAAGGUUUACGGAUCGUAAACUGCUUUUAUCGGGGAAGAGAAAGGACG
Molecule: ribosomal RNA, 430 nt
Filed under: uncultured bacterium
Lineage: Bacteria
Description: bacterial SSU rRNA
Rfam family: Bacterial small subunit ribosomal RNA
Source: RNAcentral